GACGAACGCUGGCGGCGUGCCUAAUACAUGCAAGUCGAACGCAUUUUCUUUCACCGUAGCUUGCUACACCGAAAGAAAAUGAGUGGCGAACGGGUGAGUAACACGUGGGUAACCUGCCCAUCAGCGGGGGAUAACACUUGGAAACAGGUGCUAAUACCGCAUAAUUCCAUUUACCGCAUGGUAAAUGGAUGAAAGGCGCUUUUGCGUCACUGAUGGAUGGACCCGCGGUGCAUUAGCUAGUUGGUGGGGUAACGGCCUACCAAGGCUGCGAUGCAUAGCCGACCUGAGAGGGUGAUCGGCCACACUGGGACUGAGACACGGCCCAGACUCCUACGGGAGGCAGCAGUAGGGAAUCUUCGGCAAUGGACGCAAGUCUGACCGAGCAACGCCGCGUGAUUGAAGAAGGUUUUCGGAUCGUAAAACUCUGUUGUUAGAGAAGAACAAGGAUGAGAGUGGAAAGUUCAUCCCUUGACGGUAUCUAACCAGAAAGCCACGGCCAACUACGUG
This 507-nucleotide ribosomal RNA is filed under the name uncultured bacterium. RNAcentral describes it as "partial 16S ribosomal RNA". It matches the Rfam family "Bacterial small subunit ribosomal RNA", at positions 28 to 507 of the family's 1533-position model. The record is from RNAcentral.